AGUUCAAUGCGAGCUGAGCAGACAGGGCUGCAAGGAAAUCUGGCGCGGUUCAAUACCUCGUCUAGCCUGGGUUCCAGUAUCUAAUUUUUUUUUUGUUUUAACUGACAAACUCAUUUCUCUACUGGGACAGGAUGCUGUGCUGGCUGGAAGUUCCAUUUCUACAGCAAGAAUCCUAUCUGGAAACACAGAAGUUGUCCUCUAGCCACAGCAGCUCGAACUUUUUUGAUUGUCGUUGCUGCUUUCUCCCAUCACCCCCAUCCCCUUUUGACAAAGAUCCAACUGUAAAAAGUCUUACGUAACAGUUCAGGACUACUUCGGUUCUUUUACUGGGUAAGCACUUUCAAUUUUUUUUUUUUAACUAAAAGCCAUUUUAAAAUU
This 378-nucleotide long non-coding RNA is filed under the name Homo sapiens (human). RNAcentral's name for it is "HSALNT0354820". Lineage: Eukaryota; Metazoa; Chordata; Mammalia; Primates; Hominidae. The record is from RNAcentral.